RNAcentral lists this long non-coding RNA (793 nucleotides) under Naja naja (Indian cobra). RNAcentral describes it as "lncRNA (ENSNNAG00000012613.1)". The record is from RNAcentral. Lineage: Eukaryota; Metazoa; Chordata; Lepidosauria; Squamata; Elapidae.
AAAGGAAGGAAAAGAAAGUCAGGGGAGGGGAGGGGAGGAGGGGAGGGAAAGCCUCUUUUCUCCGGCUGCCAAAGGCGCCAACUGCCCUCUUCCAAGCAACUUCUCUCUCACCGUCCAGAGUCCGCUUUCCCCAGCCACGCAACAGCACCCGCAGCAGCAGCAGCAACUCCCUUCGCCGAACAGGAAACCUUCCUUCUCCCGCGCCGAGCGGUUCUGAGCUGAGCUUCGUGGGCAAACAGGAAGCCUCGUCGGAUGAUGCUCUUGAGAGUUUAUGUGUGGAAGGAAGGAAGGAAGGAAAGAAGGAAGGAAGGAAGGAAAGGAGGAAGACUGUAUUUUAAAAUAUCAGAGCUCACUGACAAGCAGAAAACAAAUCUGUUUAUCAGUAGAAUCCACAGCUGUUGCUAGUGAGAUCUAGCCAGAAAUGACUGUUUACUGAGUAAGCUCAUCUCAUUGAAUGAAGAGGAUUUCUUGAGAAUUUGCUUCACCUGGAGUAGUGUCAAAAAUUCUACAUCUUUUUCAAAUGUCAGGCAUAUACUUGGUUUUCCAGAGCCUUAGCAAAUUUUAAAUGCCUCUCUACGCCAGCAUCAUCUCAAGAAUCUUUCUAUUGUUUCAGCAAACAUCUGGUGGUUAUGAUGAAAUUCUGAGGAAGAAAUGAUAGAAUUCAUACUUCCUGAAUUUUCUUUUCAUUCCUUUUUAACAUCCAGUUCUCCAUGGAAAGUCUUGUUUUACCAGAUAAAGAUUCUAUCAUUAUUCAAAUCACAGUUGUAGACUUGGUAUUAUAUGUUUACUAAUA